GCCAGGCACGGUGGCCCACGCCUGUAAUCCAGAGGCUCAGGAGGCAGAGGCAGGGGAAUCGUGAGUGAGUUCAAAGCCAGCCUCAGCAACUUCGCGAGACUCUGUCUCAA
RNAcentral lists this small RNA (110 nucleotides) under Marmota monax (woodchuck). The record is from RNAcentral. Lineage: Eukaryota; Metazoa; Chordata; Mammalia; Rodentia; Sciuridae.